RNAcentral lists this long non-coding RNA (430 nucleotides) under Vigna radiata. Its description in RNAcentral is "long non-coding RNA (VRAD_LNC007378)". Lineage: Eukaryota; Viridiplantae; Streptophyta; Magnoliopsida; Fabales; Fabaceae. The record is from RNAcentral.
AAGAUGAGUAAGAAGAAGUAGAGGAGAAGAGGAGGAGGAAGAAGAAGAGGUAAAAGAGGAGAAGAUGACACAGCAACAGCUUGAUGGUGGCAUGACGGUGGCUUUGUGGUGACAUGGAGGUAGAGGAUGCCAACAACGAUGGUUGUCGAAAUUAAAGAAGGAGGUAGAGGAUGAAGAGGUGAAAGAUGAGGAAAGACAAAGAUAAAAAUAGGAGGAGGAAGAAGAUGACCUAAAGGUGGCGGUGGUGCAUGACAAUCCAGAGACGACAGGGAGAAGAAGAGGAAGAGAAAAAAAGAAAGAAAAAAGAAGAGGAAAAGGAAGAGUAAGAAGCAAAUUUGAUUGCUUAUUUUACUAAUAGAUGUUACCAACACUGGUGCGAAAUAUGCCUUCAACGUCACGCAUUUAACUUCAGACUGCCAAACAACCAAAG